This is a long non-coding RNA of Oreochromis aureus, 444 nucleotides long. RefSeq lists it as uncharacterized. NCBI's taxonomy places the organism in Eukaryota, Metazoa, Chordata, Actinopteri, Cichliformes, Cichlidae. The transcript has 3 exons. The record is from RefSeq and is a predicted model, not a curated record.
UAAACUAAAAUAAUGAGUUCACAUGACCUUUCCAAGCGUGCGCGAACCCACUAUUUGAACCCCGGAACACCGUACCAUCGGCUUGCCCAACUACUCGGCGAUCACGGGGAGUCUACGCGACCGGCUUUAUGAAAGGCUAUUAGAACAAACAGCCAUGAAGGUGUGGCUGUCAACACUCAUUAGUGCUGCUGUCACCAUCACCACUCCGAAUAAUUGGUUGGCUGUAAUAUGCUGGAUGCUGGUGCUCCAACUACAGCACGCCAUGAAUACCAAUGUGGCAUCCCAGCAUGAAAAGACAUGCAGACAUAUUGUUGCUGUCAGGUGGAAAAACAUGAGGUUUCCAGGAAGAAUUAAAGGGAGAGUGGUAAAGUAUUAUUCUUUGACUAAGCAGCUGCCAAAUUUGUGUUGCCAAAUGUGAAUACAAUUACAAGGACAUCUAACAUA